This 2332-nucleotide long non-coding RNA is filed under the name Homo sapiens (human). RNAcentral describes it as "HSALNT0049684". Lineage: Eukaryota; Metazoa; Chordata; Mammalia; Primates; Hominidae. The record is from RNAcentral.
GCCUCUCUGCUCCCUGAACGCCGGUCCCGGACCAUGACCCAGCCUCUGCCCAGCAGCCACUCCCCUCCCCACAGCCUUUGCUCCCAGCAGACCUGCCUGCUCUCUGUGCUGCUGCUCACCACGGCCGCGUGCCAUUCCCCUGCCAGGGAGCCUUGGGACGGGACUCCCGUUAGAAGUCUGAUGGCAACACGUGUCUGCCUCCCCCAGAGCAGAUGAACAGAACCUCCUAGAGAGCAACUUUCAAUGCCCCGACCUUCAGCAGAGGAUGAAGAGCAGAUCUCUCCUCCUGCUCCCGGGAGGGUGGGACGGCAAGGCCCUCCCGGUCCAAUGUGACGGCAGGAUUAGCCUAGUGGCUGCUGACACUCUGGGCACUGGGCUUACCUGGCCACCAAGACCUAGUGUGGAAAAAAAAAAAACAAGAAAAACAGAAGAACGAGGCUUGGAAGACUGGCUGUUUGAGGAGAGAGAAGAACAUGCCUCCGGAGGAAGAACGAAUGUUCCUCAAACCAAAUGGGGGUCAGAGGGAGAGGUGUAAAGUACCACUGAGAAGUUCCUCUGGGAGAAGUUCUUUGCAGGGUGUGUACAGAGCCCCUCUUGGAGUCACAUGGAAAGAACUGAUGGCAAAUGAGAGCGGCAUGUCUGACUCUGGCACUGGACCUUGAGAUGGCAUCAUCCAUGCACCUGGAGGCCAGGAAUUCCUGCAGCGUGAUGCCAGUGGGCACAGAUGGAAGGAGGCCCAGGGUGGUGACCCCAGGAACAAGAGGAAGCGGGAAAUGAGCAGGUCUCCUGGGCAGAGAGCCACUUCCCACUUCCUAGGGCAUUGUCCCGGCUGGAGCUGCAGCUGUGGUCUUGCUCUAGUUCUAGGAUGAAGCAAAGCCACGGGGGAAGGUGAGGUAGGAUGGAGAAAGGACUCGGGGUUCCAGUGCACCCCUGAACCGGCACAGCCUCCCGGCCCUCCUGCUGGGAGUUGGGGGAUUGCUUCUAAUGGACAAUGGAUGGACUGUGUCUGAUGUCACCCCAUACACGUGGAACAGGGCAGCUGUCUUGUGUUCCCAGCCUCUGGUAAGCUCCUUGAGGGCACAGACGCUGUCUGGUUCAUCUCUGCACCCCUGACAGUGCCCCGCUGGGUGCCUGGCGCGGUGCCCACUGCUUAGUAGACCCUGGAGUUGUUGGGGAGAAGGCGCUUGGGCCAUGGUAGCAGCAGGUGGAGGCUGGGCUUGUGUCCAGUGUUCAGGAAACUCGGAAACCUCCAAAUGUGUGACCCCGAUGGGAUUUUGAUUUCUUCCCAUCUCUUGAGCCUAAGGCACAAUUGUUGGGAACCUCCAAAACCCACUGCUUAGGGAAAAGCCCGCAUCCAAAUUUCUGCUAAGCAGGAGGGGAAGGUGCCGGGGUGGGUGUGGUCUCGCAGUGCCUGUCCCCUGCUGCUCUGGCUUGCUGCCCUCAUCCCUGUGGCCGCUUCUUCCCCAGCAUCCUCAACAGCACGUGUGCUCACAGCCCGGACCCCGCCCUGAUGGUCUGACUGCACGGCUCCCGCGUCCUGACUUCCUCCCACUCUCCCCUUGUGCGGAGCACCUCUGCCCACGCCCAGUGCCCGGUGCUUGCCCACAGCGGAAGCCCCGCCCUGGAGCUCACCACACCCCAGCCCUGACCCUACAGCAGCCCCCACCAGUGAGUUCUGCCAUUAGAGUCAGAAUGUCUCUUCCCUCUCGUGUGACAGGUUUGCAUGCUACUCAGAAUUUAGUUCUCCAAGGACCCCUGAAUCACAGUCAGGGCCAGGCCCAGAGCAGGCCCAAAGCUGAAGAAGGUGCUCACCCUCAGGGCUCUCAGAGACAAGGGGGAAGAGUCCGGGGGGCUUUUGAGAGGCACCAAGUUCAAGUCUGUGUCGCCCACGCAAGGCUCCUUCUCUCUCCAACCUCUUCACCCCAGGGACUCUGGAAUCCUGCCUUCCACACCCCACAUGGCUAGAACCACUAGUGCAGGAACAUGCAACUCCGCAAUCAGCCUGCCUGCCCCUCACCUGCACACACCUCUGCUGCACCUCCACACUCAGCCUACCUGUGCUCACCUGGGCAGCAGCUCCAUACUCAGCCUGCCUGCCCCUCACCUGCACGCACCUGCUCCUCACCUGUGCUCACCUGGGCUGGAGUUUAGCCUUUCCUUCUGCAGCCUCUGAGGUGUGGAAAGUCACAUUGCUCCUCACAGAGCCCCCAAAACAAGACAGACACAAACCAAAGACAAAAAGCAAAUGUUUGGUUUUUAAACUAGCUUAAUAAUCUGCUCAACUGGCCUCUCCUCUCUGAACUGUGUUGGGGAUCCUGGUGGAAGAACUGAG